UAAAAAGGAAAGGUCAAAUACAAUGAAAUG
This 30-nucleotide non-coding RNA is filed under the name Mus musculus (house mouse). Lineage: Eukaryota; Metazoa; Chordata; Mammalia; Rodentia; Muridae. The record is from RNAcentral.